Molecule: long non-coding RNA, 1353 nt
Filed under: Zea mays
Lineage: Eukaryota; Viridiplantae; Streptophyta; Magnoliopsida; Poales; Poaceae
Description: long non-coding RNA (ZMAY_LNC003290)
Source: RNAcentral
GCGCAGAAAAUGGAGAUCUGUCGCCGCGGUUGAACUCCAUGCUCUGGGCCUCCUAGCUCCAAUCGCGUGCACGGGUGUGUCACCGGGGCACACAGAUACGGGCCUGCGCUUUCCCGUGCACAUGGUUGUUUUGGGGCACAAGUAAUCUCUCAACGGAGUCAGGCAUGGCCGAAGUACCGCCCUCGUCAUGGCUGGGAUCCAACACCGUGUCAUCUCUGGUAAAGCCUCUUCCAAUAGGUUCUGCAUCUCCUUAUCCUCUGUUCGCACCGAUUAGCACUCGAGUUUGGGCACCGGGGGACGAACGACUGUGUUGCCGUCGGGCGCCGCCACGGGGAGGCCCCUGCGCCGCCGCUCGGACUAAUUGUGGGUGGCUGUGGGUAUGAUAAACUCGCAGCCGUCCAUCUGGUAUUGGGCGGCUCUGAUCAACCGUACUCACACUGGUACGCACCGGUGCAGGGGAGGGGAAGGUUUCUGGCCAUUGAUCGGAUGAGGGAAGGCCAAGAUUAGACGCACUUUCUAGAUUGCUUGCCUCCGUAUCCGACCGCUGGAUCUGGAUGUAGGGUAAUAUGGGGCAUUGAUUCCAUACCAGGCCAUUGGGAUCGAGUACCGACCCAUUUAGGGCUUGUUCGGUUAGCUCUCAAUCCAUGUGGAUUGAGUGGGAUUGGAUGAGUUUGAAUCCCAAACAAGUCAAACUUCUUAGGCCUUGUUCGGUUAGCUCUCAAUCCAUGUGGAUUGAGUGGGAUUGGAUGAGUUUAAAUCCCAAACAAGUCAAACUUAUUAAGAAUUUUUUCCAAUCCCAUCCAAUCCAUGUGUAUUGGGAAUAAUCGAACAAGGCCUUAAGAAUUUUUUCCAAUCCCAUCCAAUCAAUGUGUAUUAGGAAUAACCGAACAAGGCCUUAUGGGAUCGAUCUAAUCUGGAGUGUGGGAAUCUGAUCGAGCGACCCAUAUGACUCAUACCCCUUCAGCCAUGCAAACAUUCAAAUGAGCCCCUCGAGUUUAUGAUAUUGAACCCACCGUCCAAGUAGAGUCAUAAAGAAUAUAAUUUAGAUCCUAGUAUUUACGUGUUAGCCCCUAGGUUCCGUAUAAUUAGUGCAAGUAGUCCAAAAUCCUGUGAAUUAUAAAUAUUAAUCCAAAAAUAGGUUAAUGUGUAUGAAAAUAAAUCCAAGAACUUGAAAAAUUCAUAAUUAAUCCAUUCCAAUUGCAUUAGACUCAUAAUAAUGUUGUCUAUCGUUUAGUAACCUUAUUUCACUAUGUAACUCAGUUAUAAAAAUAACACUCAUUUUAUUUUAUGUUUAACACCUAAAUUUUUCAGGAAAUCAUAACUUCUACACUUUAACCACGAUUCGACCCAUUC